RNAcentral lists this ribosomal RNA (468 nucleotides) under uncultured bacterium. RNAcentral describes it as "partial 16S ribosomal RNA". It matches the Rfam family "Bacterial small subunit ribosomal RNA", at positions 28 to 507 of the family's 1533-position model. The record is from RNAcentral.
GACGAACGCUGGCGGCGUGCUUAACACAUGCAAGUCGAACGGAAAGGCCCUGCUUUUGUGGGGUGCUCGAGUGGCGAACGGGUGAGUAACACGUGAGUAACCUGCCCUUGACUUUGGGAUAACUUCAGGAAACUGGGGCUAAUACCGGAUAGGAGCUCCUGCUGCAUGGUGGGGGUUGGAAAGUUUCGGCGGUUGGGGAUGGACUCGCGGCUUAUCAGCUUGUUGGGGGGGUAGUGGCUUACCAAGGCUUUGACGGGUAGCCGGCCUGAGAGGGUGACCGGCCACAUUGGGACUGAGAUACGGCCCAGACUCCUACGGGAGGCAGCAGUGGGGAAUAUUGCCCAAUGGGCGGAAGCCUGAUGCAGCAACGCCGCGUGCGGGAUGACGGCCUUCGGGUUGUAAACCGCUUUCGCCUGUGACGAAGCGUGAGUGACGGUAAUGGGUAAAGAAGCACCGGCUAACUACGUG